Molecule: ribosomal RNA, 494 nt
Filed under: uncultured bacterium
Lineage: Bacteria
Description: partial 16S ribosomal RNA
Rfam family: Bacterial small subunit ribosomal RNA
Source: RNAcentral
GACGAACGCUGGCGGCGUGCUUAACACAUGCAAGUCGAACGGAAAGGCCUGCUUUCCCUUGUGGAUUGCGGGUACUCGAGUGGCGAACGGGUGAGUAACACGUGAGUGAUCUGCCCCCAACUUGGGUAUAAGCCUGGGAAACUGGGUCUAAUUCCCGAUAGGACUGCAGGGUGGUGCCUGUGGUGGAAAACGAUUUUCUAGUGGUUGGGGAUGAGCUCGCGGCGUAUCAGCUUGUUGGUGGGGUAAUGUCCUACCAAGGCGGCGACGGGUAGCCGGCCUGGGAGGGUGGACAGCCACAGUGGGACUGAGAGACGGCCCAGACGCCUACGGGAGGCAGCAGUGGGGAAGAUUGCGCAGGGGGCGGAAGCCUGAUGCAGCGACGCCGCGUGGGGGAUGACGGCCUUCGGGUUGUAAACUCCUUGCGACCGCGAGGAAGCCACCUGGUUGGAAGGGUGGUGACGGUAGUGGUAGAAGAAGCACCGGCUAACUACGUG